UGGUCUCAAACCAUUUCAUUUCCAUCUGUAGCCAAAGAUUCGCCAUCAGACAACUGCAAAACCCCAUGCACAGACCCCAGAAAUGUCUGAAUUUGGGGAGACUGGAGGGGAGAUGGAAGAUGCAGAGUGAGUGCCAAUAAAAGCAGCCGAAGGAUUCAAGAAAAGCCUGUCGAGUAUGAUCCAGCGUUCCUGCCAUGGCCGAUGUGGAAACAGGCAGUGUGGCUACAGGAAGCAGAAGUGAGGCUGUACCACAGGCUGUCACUGUGAUGCAACAAAAUGUAUCUGCUGGACCAUCCUGAGGCCCAAACGAGAUUCUAAAGGAUCCUUCAAACUGGAAGAUCCCAUUGAUGUGACUGCUGGGGAGACCACCUUUGAACCAAUAUGUAUCAUUCUGAACAAGAAGGUAGAAAUGAGAAAUGGGGGAGCCUGGGUGGAAUUGAUUUCCAGCCACUGGCUGCCGUAUCUUGUUCAUGGCUAGCAGUGGGCACUAAAUCAGGAGAAAUUUCCCCAAGACCCUUUCACUGCCUCUGCCUCUUGCUUGGCCCCAACCUUCUGAGCAGCCUGGGGAAAUUAGCCUUUUUUGCUCUCAAAUAAGCCAUUGAGAUGUUGGCCCUUUACCUGGCUCAGCUCACCUCACCCUAAUUGAUUCCUGGUGUCCUUAUGCCAGCCAAGUACACUAGAUUCUGCUCCCUCCC
Long non-coding RNA from Gopherus evgoodei (Goodes thornscrub tortoise), 695 nucleotides. RefSeq lists it as uncharacterized. The transcript is spliced from 3 exons. The record is from RefSeq and is a predicted model, not a curated record. Lineage: Eukaryota; Metazoa; Chordata; Testudines; Testudinidae.